This 501-nucleotide ribosomal RNA is filed under the name Dialister pneumosintes. Its description in RNAcentral is "bacterial SSU rRNA". It matches the Rfam family "Bacterial small subunit ribosomal RNA", at positions 9 to 474 of the family's 1533-position model. Lineage: Bacteria; Bacillati; Bacillota; Negativicutes; Veillonellales; Veillonellaceae. The record is from RNAcentral.
GAGUUUGAUUAUGGCUCAGGACGAACGCUGGCGGCGUGCUUAACACAUGCAAGUCGAACGGAAAGAGAUGAAAGAGCUUGCUCUUUUAUUAAUUUCAGUGGCAAACGGGUGAGUAACACGUAAACAACCUGCCUUAAGGAUGGGGAUAACAGACGGAAACGACUGCUAAUACCGAAUACGUUCUAAGCAUCGCAUGGUGCAUAGAAGAAAGGGUGGCCUCUACAAGAAAGCUAUCGCCUUAAGAGGGGUUUGCGACUGAUUAGGUAGUUGGUGAGGUAACGGCUCACCAAGCCGACGAUCAGUAGCCGGUCUGAGAGGAUGAACGGCCACACUGGAACUGAGACACGGUCCAGCCUCCUACGGGAGGCAGCAGUGGGGAAUCUUCCGCAAUGGACGAAAGUCUGACGGAGCAACGCCGCGUGAACGAAGAAGGUCUUCGGAUUGUAAAGUUCUGUGAUUCGGGACGAAAGGGUUUGUGGUGAAUAAUCAUAGACAUUGACG